CAUUAAACCUGUAUGUUGCCAACCUUAUCCCUACUCCCCUAUUUUCAGAAAAGAUCAUACUCAUGCCUUCAUCUUCUUCUCCUUUCAAUUUUUAAAAAAUUCGAUCAUCACUUUCAGUCAAAGACAAAAAAAAUGAAAGAUUUGUGAAUCUUUUUCUCACCUUCUCCCUAUUGGCGUCAUAAAUACCUUUAAUUUCAGUUCAAAUUCAAUUUUUUAAGUCCGAAUUUGUCUAUAAAUAACAAGGUUUUUCACCUUCAUAAGACAAAAGAGAGAUCCCAGAAAAAUACAUAUCGAAGAAUUCAUUUGAAACUUCAAAAAAUCAUUGGGUUUUUUUUUUGCGGCUUUAAAUUCAAGUUCAGAAAGGAGUUCGAAAUUGGAAUCCUUGACAAAAAAUUCCCUUGUUUGCUGCUCCACAUAAGAGUUCUACUUUGGAACUCAUUUUUGGCCCAAAAUAUCGGACCAACAACUAUUAGGAUCAUCAGAGCUCGGAGCCCUGUAAAUUAGCAGUCAAUAUUUCUUGGCCUUUCUCGUUACUAUUUUGAUUAUGUUUCUUUUGAUAUAUUAAUUUAUUUUUACAUACAUGUUUACAUAUAUGUGAAUGUUAAUACUAAUCUCUCUUCUUUAUUUGAGACCUUUUUGUAUAUGGCUAAUAUCAUUUGUUAAUUAUUUUUA
This is a long non-coding RNA of Solanum dulcamara, 672 nucleotides long. RefSeq lists it as uncharacterized. The record is from RefSeq and is a predicted model, not a curated record. The transcript is spliced from 2 exons. Lineage: Eukaryota; Viridiplantae; Streptophyta; Magnoliopsida; Solanales; Solanaceae.